GACGAACGCUGGCGGCGUGCUUAACACAUGCAAGUCGAACGGAAAGGCCUCUUUCGGGGGGUACUCGAGUGGCGAACGGGUGAGUAACACGUGAGUAACCUGCCCUUGACUUUGGGAUAACUUCAGGAAACUGGGGCUAAUACCGGAUAGGAGCUCCUGCUGCAUGGUGGGGGUUGGAAAGUUUCGGCGGUUGGGGAUGGACUCGCGGCUUAUCAGCUUGUUGGUGGGGUAGUGGCUUACCAAGGCUUUGACGGGUAGCCGGCCUGAGAGGGAGACCGGCCACAUUGGGACUGAGAUACGGCCCAGACUCCUACGGGAGGCAGCAGUGGGGAAUAUUGCACAAUGGGUGGAAGCCUGAUGCAGCAACGCCGUGUGCGGGAUGACGGCCUUCGGGUUGUAAACCGCUUUCGCUCAUGACGAAGCUUUGUGUGACGGUAGUGGGUAAAGAAGCACCGGCUAACUACGUG
RNAcentral lists this ribosomal RNA (467 nucleotides) under uncultured bacterium. RNAcentral describes it as "partial 16S ribosomal RNA". It matches the Rfam family "Bacterial small subunit ribosomal RNA", at positions 28 to 507 of the family's 1533-position model. The record is from RNAcentral.